Molecule: long non-coding RNA, 1028 nt
Filed under: Heterocephalus glaber (naked mole-rat)
Lineage: Eukaryota; Metazoa; Chordata; Mammalia; Rodentia; Bathyergidae
Description: lncRNA (ENSHGLG00100034901.1)
Source: RNAcentral
CGGCUCCAGCGCUGCGCUUCUCAGUUUCGUGUCUAAGGCGACGGAGCCUGGCUCCUGCGCAGGCUUCGCUCGCCGCUGCCUGAUCGCCGAGGGCACUGCCUCUCGUUUGAACCCUCUGAGGGAAAGCGGUAAAAGAGGUGUAUUCAGCCGAGGCCUCCGCUGGACUGUCCGGCUGUGGCGAGUUACACGGUGAUGAGCUGCUAAAGGAAGGGCAAAGUCCUUCGUGGCAAAGCACCCAGAUUAAGUACGGAGAGGUGGAUCCUGACAUCAAACCAACCUGCUCCUAAAAAUUACAGUCAGUGACCAGAAAACAAACCAGAUUCGAUCUGACGCAGGUUCCAACCAGCAGCCGGGUAAGAAGCUUGUUCCGUUGCAAAUGACCCUUGCCUCGACCCUGAGACCUUGAGGCUGAGAAGAACCCACAGUGGUGCCACCAAUGGGCCUAGUGCUAUUAACCAGCAAAGAAGAAGAAAACCUUGGCGAGAGACCUCAGUUACCUGAGGGGCAUAGCCCUUCCUGGCUGCAUGGAUCCCACACACAUUAUCCGCACCACCAUUACCACCGCCGCGUUACUAGAGAUUGAACCCAGGGCCUCGUCCCUGAGUCAGCACUCUGCCACUGAGCUACAUCCCAAACCUUUUUAAAAUUGCUCCGGCUGUCCUUAAACUCUCAGUCCUCCUGUCUCAACCUCUUCAGUAACUAGGAUUACAGUUGAGUACUGGGGACAGAACCUAGGGCCUGCUGCAUAGCAGCUGCCAUUUUAUAGAAUCUUGGAGCAACAGAUUGCAAUCCCAAUCAGCCGCAAACAACUGUCUUGAGGAGAUGAUUUCAUCCUCCAUGAACACCACAGAUGAGGUCAGAAUGACUCCAUUGUUUAUCUACAACAAGCCCCUUUGACAUGAGCCUGCUAACAAGAACACAGAUCCUCCAACUUCCAUUCUUGGCCUCCUGGAUUUGUUGAGGUUAAAGUUUAUAUCCUAGAUACACAUAGGGAAAAACAUUUUCUGCUAGCUGAGACUUCCCUUCAU